AGAGUUUGAUCAUGGCUCAGGACGAACGCUGGCGGCGUGCCUAAUACAUGCAAGUAGAACGCUGAAGAGAGGAGCUUGCUCUUCUUGGAUGAGUUGCGAACGGGUGAGUAACGCGUAGGUAACCUGCCUUGUAGCGGGGGAUAACUAUUGGAAACGAUAGCUAAUACCGCAUAACAAUGGAUGACACAUGUCAUUUAUUUGAAAGGGGCAAUUGCUCCACUACAAGAUGGACCUGCGUUGUAUUAGCUAGUAGGUGAGGUAAUGGCUCACCUAGGCGACGAUACAUAGCCGACCUGAGAGGGUGAUCGGCCACACUGGGACUGAGACACGGCCCAGACUCCUACGGGAGGCAGCAGUAGGGAAUCUUCGGCAAUGGGGGCAACCCUGACCGAGCAACGCCGCGUGAGUGAAGAAGGUUUUCGGAUCGUAAAGCUCUGUUGUAAGUCAAGAACGGGUGUGAGGGUGGAAAGUUCACACUGUGACGGUAGCUUACCAGAAAGGGACGGCUAACUACGUGCCAGCAGCCGCGGUAAUACGUAGGUCCCGAGCGUUGUCCGGAUUUAUUGGGCGUAAAGCGAGCGCAGGCGGUUUGAUAAGUCUGAAGUUAAAGGCUGUGGCUCAACCAUAGUUCGCUUUGGAAACUGUCAAACUUGAGUGCAGAAGGGGAGAGUGGAAUUCCAUGUGUAGCGGUGAAAUGCGUAGAUAUAUGGAGGAACACCGGUGGCGAAAGCGGCUCUCUGGUCUGUAACUGACGCUGAGGCUCGAAAGCGUGGGGAGCGAACAGGAUUAGAUACCCUGGUAGUCCACGCCGUAAACGAUGAGUGCUAGGUGUUGGAUCCUUUCCGGGAUUCAGUGCCGCAGCUAACGCAUUAAGCACUCCGCCUGGGGAGUACGACCGCAAGGUUGAAACUCAAAGGAAUUGACGGGGGCCCGCACAAGCGGUGGAGCAUGUGGUUUAAUUCGAAGCAACGCGAAGAACCUUACCAGGUCUUGACAUCCCGAUGCUAUUUCUAGAGAUAGAAAGUUACUUCGGUACAUCGGUGACAGGUGGUGCAUGGUUGUCGUCAGCUCGUGUCGUGAGAUGUUGGGUUAAGUCCCGCAACGAGCGCAACCCCUAUUGUUAGUUGCCAUCAUUCAGUUGGGCACUCUAGCGAGACUGCCGGUAAUAAACCGGAGGAAGGUGGGGAUGACGUCAAAUCAUCAUGCCCCUUAUGACCUGGGCUACACACGUGCUACAAUGGUUGGUACAACGAGUUGCGAGUCGGUGACGGCGAGCUAAUCUCUUAAAGCCAAUCUCAGUUCGGAUUGUAGGCUGCAACUCGCCUACAUGAAGUCGGAAUCGCUAGUAAUCGCGGAUCAGCACGCCGCGGUGAAUACGUUCCCGGGCCUUGUACACACCGCCCGUCACACCACGAGAGUUUGUAACACCCGAAGUCGGUGAGGUAACCUUUUGGAGCCAGCCGCCUAAGGUGGGACAGAUGAUUGGGGUGAAGUCGUAACAAGGUA
Molecule: ribosomal RNA, 1506 nt
Filed under: metagenome
Description: bacterial SSU rRNA
Rfam family: Bacterial small subunit ribosomal RNA
Source: RNAcentral